Molecule: non-coding RNA, 136 nt
Organism: Brachypodium distachyon (stiff brome)
Lineage: Eukaryota; Viridiplantae; Streptophyta; Magnoliopsida; Poales; Poaceae
Source: Rfam
AAAGUACUCCCUCCGUCCAAAAAAAGAUGUCUCAAGUUCGUCAAAAUUUGGAUGUAUGUAGACAUCAUUUAGUGUAUAGAUGCAUCCAAAUUUAGUCAAAAUUGAGACAUCUUUUGUUGAACUGAUGGAGUAUAUG